Molecule: long non-coding RNA, 1868 nt
Organism: Physella acuta
Lineage: Eukaryota; Metazoa; Mollusca; Gastropoda; Physidae
Source: RefSeq, a predicted model, not a curated record
UAGCUGACCGACGUCCAGCGAGGCGGAUCUACUGUCUUCACUAGAGCUGGGAUAGCAGUAGCACCAGUCAAGAACAUGGCACUGUUGUGGUAUAACUUUUCUCCACAAUAUGAGGAUGAGGAUCAGUUGACCUAUCAUGGUGGAUGUCCAGUUGUCUUCGGACAUAAAUGGAUCUGUACAAAAUGGAUCUGGACUUACGGCAACACAUUGAGAAGAAGGUGUGGUCUGACACCUGAAGCCACCCAGCUCGAUAUUGAACCUGACAUGAAGAGAGGCUAUAUAUAGGAAGAUGGUGGUGGACCUUCAAGCGAGUCAGCUGAGGACUGCAGAUGUUCCCUGACAAAGUCUAAAACUGCAGAAUUUUAAAUGUGUCAUACAGAAUAAAAGACAAACAAAUACAUUUUUUUAAUGAAAAUAGUAUUAAAAAACAACAACAAAAAACUCAACAACAACAGAAAACAAAAAUGAACAUUAAACUAUCUAAAACCAAUAAUAUAACUACUUUCUGAGCUAGAGAUUUCAAAGGUUUGGUCUUUUAAAUAUAAAAUAACUUUAUUUUAACAUAUAAAUUUUGUUCAUAUUUUCCUUCUUUUAAAAUAUAUUAUUUAAAAAAAAAUUGUUUAGUCUGUGGAACUGUUUAUGACCGUUAUGUCGAACAAAGUUUAUACCAAUGUCCAGUGUUUUAUGUUAUAUAUGUUUACCAUCCCUUAGAUAUGACCAUUAUACGGGGUAAUAUCCGCCCCUUAGAGUCCAUUAUUUGAGGUAUAGAUGUCGCACCUUAUUCUGCUUGAACAAAGUCUUCAGUCCUUUUAAUUUGUUUACAGCAUACAUUUGUUAAUUUAGUCUUUCGUUGCUAGACAGCGAGAAUAAGCAUGAAUAAAACUCACUUUAAUUUGUUGAUUAUAGCUUUAUUUUUAAGUUGAAUGCAUUAAACUCUCUGAUUUAUUUCAGCGUUAAACGCAUUUUAUAUAGUGAGCAUGCGUCCACUUAUACUUCUAUCAUGUACAGAACAACUUUAAAACACGUAUAGCAGUUAUGGAUUUUGAAAGUUUUAAAAAUUGUUAUAAUUAUACUUACACAAAUGAACAAGGCGAGGUUUUUGGUUUUUACAUUUAAUACUUGUUUUCGCUAUAUUUGAAACUUUUAAUGCAAAAGUAGUCAAAAACAAGUUGCAGUGAUUAGAUUGGUAAGCCAAUAAAUAUGUCAAUUAGAAGUGUCCGAAAUUUCGCUCGGGUGUUUUGAUCUAGACUGACGACAGACUGAUGACAGAGACAGUGAGUUCAAUAAGAGCUUGUAAAAAUGUCAAUAUCUAAUAAUUGGAUAUAUUUAAAUUAAUAUAAGCUACCAAUACCAAUCAGUAAAAUUAAAACCAAAUUAUAUACAUCAUUAGUGAACACAACACCAUAUUAAAUGCACACACUGAUUAAGAGCCUUAAAUGAUUUCGUUAAACACCCGGCUGUUCAAUGGUCUUUAUAUUGUUUUUUAAAGUAAUUUGUAUUAGUUUUGGCCGAGAAAAUUGUAUACAUUUCAUAGCGUAGAUCUUUAGAUUUAAAUCAAAUUGGAAUGAAAUAAUACAUUUGUUCAUAUUCUAAAAUUAAGAUGACGCCAUUAGUUGUGUGGACUUCCGUAGUUUAAACAUGUGAUAUGUGACGUCAUUGUUCUUUUGCGUUCUUGUCACAACUAUAAACACUUUUCCGGUUGCAUAAUUAAAAGUGUGUUUCUACAUUCGAAUAUGCCUUUAUUUUUUAUUGUUCUUUAAAUAAGAAAUAGUUUACUUUUAUACAUUUAAAAUAUGCAGCAUAUUAUUUUCAUCAAAAUUCCGUAUCAUUAAGUUCUCCAUAAUAUAUUGCUGAAGAUAUUAAGAGAG